UGGGGAAUCUUGCGCAAUGGGCGAAAGCCUGACGCAGCGACGCCGCGUGAGUGAUGAAGGCCUUCGGGUUGUAAAGCUCUGUGGGGAGGGACGAAUAAGUGUUGGAUAAUACCCAAUGCGAUGACGGUACCUCCUUAGCAAGCACCGGCUAACUCUGUGCCAGCAGCCGCGGUAAGACAGAGGGUGCAAACGUUGUUCGGAAUUACUGGGCGUAAAGCGUGUGUAGGCGGCUUCGCAAGUCGGAUGUGAAAGCCCCGGGCUCAACCCGGGAAGUGCACUCGAUACUGCGGAGCUUGAGUGUCGGAGAGGUUGGUGGAAUUCUCGGUGUAGAGGUGAAAUUCGUAGAUAUCGAGAGGAACACCGGUGGCGAAGGCGGCCAACUGGACGAACACUGACGCUG
This 400-nucleotide ribosomal RNA is filed under the name uncultured bacterium. RNAcentral's name for it is "bacterial SSU rRNA". It matches the Rfam family "Bacterial small subunit ribosomal RNA", at positions 355 to 748 of the family's 1533-position model. The record is from RNAcentral.